AGUAACGCGUAGGUAACCUGCCUUGUAGCGGGGGGAUAACUAUUGGAAACGAUAGCUAAUACCGCAUAACAAUGGGUGACUCAUGUCAUUUAUUUGAAAGGGGCAAAUGCUCCACUACAAGAUGGACCUACGUUGUAUUAGCUAGUAGGUGAGGUAACGGCUCACCUAGGCGACGAUACAUAGCCGACCUGAGAGGGUGAUCGGCCACACUGGGACUGAGACACGGCCCAG
Molecule: ribosomal RNA, 231 nt
Filed under: uncultured bacterium
Lineage: Bacteria
Description: partial 16S ribosomal RNA
Rfam family: Bacterial small subunit ribosomal RNA
Source: RNAcentral